This 477-nucleotide ribosomal RNA is filed under the name Saitozyma podzolica. RNAcentral describes it as "eukaryotic LSU rRNA". The stretch from base 114 to 267 matches the Rfam family "5.8S ribosomal RNA". The record is from RNAcentral. Lineage: Eukaryota; Fungi; Basidiomycota; Tremellomycetes; Tremellales; Trimorphomycetaceae.
CAUUAGUGAACGCCCUCACGGGCUUAUAACUAUUCCAAACCUCUGUGAACCGUGCCCUUCGGGGCUAUUUUACAAACAUGGUGUAAUGAACGUCAUAUAUCAUAACAAAACAAAACUUUCAACAACGGAUCUCUUGGCUCUCGCAUCGAUGAAGAACGCAGCGAAAUGCGAUAAGUAAUGUGAAUUGCAGAAUUCAGUGAAUCAUCGAAUCUUUGAACGCACCUUGCGCCCUCUGGUAUUCCGGAGGGCAUGCCUGUUUGAGUGUCAUGUAGACUCAAUCCCUCGGGUUUCCGAGGAGAUUGGACUUGGGUGUUGCCGCUCUGCCGGCUCGCCUUAAAAGACUUAGCGGGAUAGCACCGUAGUCGGCGUAAUAAGUUUCGUCGGUGAAGGUUGUGAUGACUGCUUACAAUCGCCCUCGGGCAAUUUUUGACUCUGACCUCAAAUCAGGUAGGACUACCCGCUGAACUUAAGCAUAUC